RNAcentral lists this long non-coding RNA (992 nucleotides) under Salvator merianae (Argentine black and white tegu). RNAcentral's name for it is "lncRNA (ENSSMRG00000016630.1)". Lineage: Eukaryota; Metazoa; Chordata; Lepidosauria; Squamata; Teiidae. The record is from RNAcentral.
AGCGAGAGGGGCGGCGGCAGGGGGGGGGGUUCCGCCUCUUCUCCUUCAGUAUUAAUGUCGCAUCGACGGAACUGAGGCUCCCUGAUUAAUCUUGCUCACAUACCUACAAAGGCACGCACGUUAGGGCGCGUGGACCAGUCAGACGGCCGUGCUGCCGUUGCCGCCGCCGCCGCCGCCGCUCUUGGCGCGCACACGGAUCGCACACGCCGCCGCCACCGCCGCUGAAGUGCUUCCUUCUCCCACAUCCCAGGAUUAGCCGCCUGCGCCGCCGCCUCUGCCUCUCUCUUGCAUCCUCCCCCCCCUCGUCAUGUUUUGACUUCUGCCUUGCCUUGGGUGCUUCUGGGCUCCGAUUUGCUUGCCUGCUUCUCGUCUCCACGGGGAAGGGGCCGAAAGAAAGAACAUCUAAGAAUCAAAUGUCAUCUACAUUAAGGAUUCCAUGCACUUUUCGCCUUUUAAACAUUCAGCAAAUGAAAAUGAAAAACUGAUUGAGGUAAUAAGAUGUCCUUUCCCUUACAUCUUCCCACGACAUGUUGAAUAAUUUUGUUACACAUCAUUUUUUGAAGAUGAGGGGAUAGAGGCUGCCUGGAAAAAGCACAAAUGGAAGCUGCCUGAUAGAUGCGGUGGGCAGAUGUAAAAGGAGAUUAAGGCGACCAAGACCAUUAUUUUGGCAUCAUCACUCUUGUAAUCACAGUUUUGUAUAAUCUGUAGUUUAGGUUUACCUUCCUUCAAUUGACAUUUGAUCAUUUCUUAUUAUUAUUCAUGUCAUGGAUCACUGUUAGAUAAGGCCAGUGUUUGCUGUUCCUCUCACUGAUGUUUUCUGUGGUUUUGUGAUGCUGUCACCUGUGGCUUCAUUUGCCUGUGGAAAAACUACCAGGUUCACAAAGUGUAAUUAUUUCAAUUUGAUUUUAUGCCCCUAUACAAAUUAAGUCCCUCAAUGAGAGAGGACAUUUUAGUUUUAUAUGCAUUGUGUUUUUCCUUCAACCAAUAAAAAC